RNAcentral lists this ribosomal RNA (423 nucleotides) under uncultured bacterium. RNAcentral's name for it is "partial 16S ribosomal RNA". It matches the Rfam family "Bacterial small subunit ribosomal RNA", at positions 360 to 776 of the family's 1533-position model. The record is from RNAcentral.
AAUUUUGGACAAUGGGCGCAAGCCUGAUCCAGCCAUGCCGCGUGAGUGAAGAAGGCCUUCGGGUUGUAAAGCUCUUUCGGACGGAAAGAAAUCGCGCAGGCUAAUACCCUGCGCGGAUGACGGUACCGUCAUAAGAAGCACCGGCUAACUACGUGCCAGCAGCCGCGGUAAUACGUAGGUUGCGAGGGUUAAUCGGAAUUAAUGGGCGUAAAGCGUGGGAAGGCGGUGGAUUAAGCCGGCCGUGAAAUCCCGGGGUUUACCCGGGGACUUGCGUUGGGGAUGGGCCGCCUAGGGUACGGCGGAGGGGGUUGAAUUUCACGUGUAGCAGUGAAAUGCGUAGAGAUGUGGAGGAACACCGAUGGCGAAGGCAGCCCCCUGGGCCGAUACUGACGCUCAUGCACGAAAGCGUGGGUAGCAAACAGG